GAUGCAGGGUUCAUUACGGCCAUAACUCCGGCUAAUGAGGCAGUGCUCGUCACAACACCAGAUAUUACUAGUCUACGAGACGCAGAUAGAGUGACGGGGCUUUUGGAGUGCGAUGGAAUUAGGGAUAUAAAGAUGAUUGUGAAUAGGGUGAGGACGGAUAUGAUCAAAGGCGAGGACAUGAUGUCAGUGCUGGACGUGCAGGAGAUGUUGGGGUUGGCGUUGUU
This 224-nucleotide unclassified non-coding RNA is filed under the name Hevea brasiliensis (rubber tree). The record is from RNAcentral. Lineage: Eukaryota; Viridiplantae; Streptophyta; Magnoliopsida; Malpighiales; Euphorbiaceae.